Long non-coding RNA from Gadus macrocephalus (Pacific cod), 813 nucleotides. RefSeq lists it as uncharacterized. The transcript has 2 exons. The record is from RefSeq and is a predicted model, not a curated record. NCBI's taxonomy places the organism in Eukaryota, Metazoa, Chordata, Actinopteri, Gadiformes, Gadidae.
CUCUGAUUAAGGUCCCCCCCUUCUAUAAGUCUUGACCAGGUAGGUCUCGUAGCUUUGUCCCCCUUUCUAAAGCCCUUGUCCAACUAUAUGUAGGUAGUUGUGGUAGUUUGGUCCCCCCCGUUCUAUAAGCAUUUUCCAGGUAGUUCUGGUAGCUUGGUCCCCCCUUCUAUAGACUUUGUCCAGGUAGGUCUGGUAUUUGGUCCGUCCUUCUAUGGGCUUUGUCAAUGUAGGUCUGGUAGUUUGGUCCGUCCUUCUAUGAGCUUUGUCCAGGUAGGUCUGGAAUUGGUAGUGUGUCCUUAUUUGGGCUUCUUCAUCUAUUUUAUUUUGGUUUUCAGUUCAGUGCAUGUACAUUUAUGCCAACGAAAGGAGGUACAGGCGCACAAACUACUCAAAAAGUUGACCGGUAGUCUUUUAUACCAGACUAAUGUUCUCAAUAAAAUUAUUAUUCAGGUGUGGGUUGCAAGUUUUCAUUGUAAAUUGCUCUUCAGUAUAUUCCGCAAGCCCAGAGCAUUUUUUUCGGGGCCAAAUAAUGGAUAUCUUUGAAUUGGCUGGAUUCAGAAUAUCCUUGGAUUGUCUGCUCUGCACACACAUUCAUUAGUUGGUGUGUACGGUUACAUCAUAGUUUAUUUUAUAUAAAAUUUUACGUCAAUGUAUUUAAUAGGGAUGCACCGAAAUGAAAAUUCUUGGCCGAAACCGAAUAUACUGAAACAGUUGGCCGAAACCGAAUACCGAAUGUGGCUUUUGCUGUUUUUCAUUCAUUUUGCUUUAAUUUUCACCAUUGCAUAAAUCAAACAAUUAAAUGUCCUUUAUAAA